Molecule: ribosomal RNA, 497 nt
Filed under: uncultured bacterium
Lineage: Bacteria
Description: partial 16S ribosomal RNA
Rfam family: Bacterial small subunit ribosomal RNA
Source: RNAcentral
GAUGAACGCUGGCGGCGUGCCUAAUACAUGCAAGUCGAGCGAACAGAUAAGGAGCUUGCUCCUUUGACGUUAGCGGCGGACGGGUGAGUAACACGUGGGUAACCUACCUAUAAGACUGGAAUAACUCCGGGAAACCGGGGCUAAUGCCGGAUAACAUUUAGAACCGCAUGGUUCUAAAGUGAAAGAUGGUUUUGCUAUCACUUAUAGAUGGACCCGCGCCGUAUUAGCUAGUUGGUAAGGUAACCGCUUACCAAGGCAACGAUACGUAACCGACCGGAGAGGCUGAUCGGCCACAUGAGAACGGAGACACGGUCCAGACUCCUACGGGAGGCAGCAGUAGGGAAUCGGACGCAACGGGCGAAAGCAUGACGGAGCAACGCCGAGUGAGUGAUGACGGUCUUCGGAUCGUAAAACUCUGUUAUUAGGGAAGAACAAAUGUGUAAGGAACUGUGCACGUCUUGACGGUACCGAAUCAGAAAGCACCGGCUAACUACGUG